UGGGGGCUUUUCCAUGCAAGUCGAACGGUAACAGGGAGCUUGCUCCGCUGACGAGUGGCGAACGGGUGAGUAAUGCGUCGGAACGUGCCGAGUAGUGGGGGAUAACUAUCCGAAAGGAUAGCUAAUACCGCAUACGCUUUGAGAAGGAAAGCAGGGGAUCGUAAGACCUUGCGCUAUUUGAGCGGCCGACGUCUGAUUAGCUAGUUGGUGAGGUAAAGGCUCACCAAGGCAUCGAUCAGUAGCGGGUCUGAGAGGAUGAUCCGCCACACUGGGACUGAGACACGGCCCAGACUCCUACGGGAGGCAGCAGUGGGGAAUUUUGGACAAUGGGCGCAAGCCUGAUCCAGCCAUGCCGCGUGUCUGAAGAAGGCCUUCGGGUUGUAAAGGACUUUUGUCAGGGAGGAAAUUCCUAGCGCUAAUAUCGCUUGGGGAUGACAGUACCUGAAGAAUAAGCACCGGCUAACUACGUGCCAGUAGCCGCG
RNAcentral lists this ribosomal RNA (482 nucleotides) under Aquitalea sp. TUAT3. Its description in RNAcentral is "bacterial SSU rRNA". It matches the Rfam family "Bacterial small subunit ribosomal RNA", at positions 40 to 519 of the family's 1533-position model. Lineage: Bacteria; Pseudomonadati; Pseudomonadota; Betaproteobacteria; Neisseriales; Chromobacteriaceae. The record is from RNAcentral.